ACCCAGUGUGAUUCGUCACACUAUCAUUAACUGAAUCCAUAGGUUAAUGAGGCGAACCGGGGGAACUGAAACAUCUAAGUACCCCGAGGAAAAGAAAUCAACCGAGAUUCCCCCAGUAGCGGCGAGCGAACGGGGAGCAGCCCAGAGCCUGAAUCAGUGUGUGUGUUAGUGGAAGCGUCUGGAAAGGCGCGCGAUACAGGGUGACAGCCCCGUACACAAAAAUGCACAUGCUGUGAGCUCGAUGAGUAGGGCGGGACACGUGGUAUCCUGUCUGAAUAUGGGGGGACCAUCCUCCAAGGCUAAAUACUCCUGACUGACCGAUAGUGAACCAGUACCGUGAGGGAAAGGCGAAAAGAACCCCGGCGAGGGGAGUGAAAAAGAACCUGAAACCGUGUACGU
RNAcentral lists this ribosomal RNA (399 nucleotides) under Escherichia coli. RNAcentral's name for it is "partial 23S ribosomal RNA". It matches the Rfam family "Bacterial large subunit ribosomal RNA", at positions 126 to 563 of the family's 2925-position model. Lineage: Bacteria; Pseudomonadati; Pseudomonadota; Gammaproteobacteria; Enterobacterales; Enterobacteriaceae. The record is from RNAcentral.